UAUCUCUGUAGAGUCUGCAUAUCAAUAAGCGGAGGAAAAGAAACUAACUAGGAUUCCCUCAGUAACGGCGAGUGAAGCGGGAAGAGCUCAAAUUUGAAAUCUUCAAGGUUCUACCUUGACGAAUUGUAGUUUAAAGAAGUGUUUUCUGUUGGAGUUUUGGUAAAAGUUCUUUGGAAUAGGACAUCAUAGAGGGUGAGAAUCCCGUAUUUGACCAUUAUUUCCAGCUUUGUGAUACACUUUCAAAGAGUCGGAUUGUUUGGGAAUGCAGUCCAAAAUGGGUGGUAAAUUUCAUCUAAAGCUAAAUAUUGGCGAGAGACCGAUAGCGAACAAGUCACCGUGAGGGAAAGAUGAAAAGAACUUUGAAAGAGAGUUAAACAGUACGUGAAAUUGUCAAAAGGGAAGCGUUUGACACCAGUGUUGUUUUCUCGAAAAUCAAUUAAAAAAAGGUAGGAUUUUGUAUUGUUAUGACCUUAUCAGCUUUCUGCACUCUUUUCUUGUCUUUUUUAAUGCACUUUUCGUUUAACAAGUCAACAUCAAUUUCCUUUUGUUGUAAAAGGGUCAUUGGAAGGUGGCUUUCUUUUCGGAGAAAGUGUUUAUAGCCUUUGGCCUUCUGCAAUCGGAGAGAUUGAGGUCUGCAGCGUAGAUCCUUCGGGGCUAGAUACAUUAGAUGCUAAGUUAUAGCUUUUUAUAGACAACCUGUUGACUAUGAUUAAGUCAUGUAGCUUACUCGUUAUGCCUAUUUUACCUACGCUUAGGAUGUUGAUCUGUAGUGCGUGCGC
This 779-nucleotide ribosomal RNA is filed under the name uncultured Neocallimastigales. RNAcentral's name for it is "partial large subunit ribosomal RNA". It matches the Rfam family "Eukaryotic large subunit ribosomal RNA", at positions 24 to 629 of the family's 3401-position model. Lineage: Eukaryota; Fungi; Neocallimastigomycota; Neocallimastigomycetes; Neocallimastigales. The record is from RNAcentral.